This is a long non-coding RNA of Anolis carolinensis (green anole), 7768 nucleotides long. RefSeq lists it as uncharacterized. The record is from RefSeq and is a predicted model, not a curated record. NCBI's taxonomy places the organism in Eukaryota, Metazoa, Chordata, Lepidosauria, Squamata, Anolidae. The transcript is spliced from 3 exons.
UGGCUUGCUUGACUCAGAUCUAAAAUUCUCUGCCAUGACUUCUGAUAUUUAGGUUUCAAGGAAUCUAGUUUAUCUUGCCAGAAGGACAACAUUUUUGAGGUAGGUUUAGAUAUCCUGCUCUUUUGUGAGGAAGAAGCAGACAUCUUUAAGUCUUCUGAAGUUUGUGUCACUUUAUAUUAGACUGAAUUGCUUUUGGACAGAAAGGACUGAAUAGCCUAUUCUCCGUUACUUGGAAUAUAGGUCUUUUAUUCUCCUGUUGCUGUCCGUUACUAAUAGCCCCUUAAAUAAAGUGAUCACUAACUUUUAAGAUUCUCAGUCCUUUUACUGAGACUUAAAGCUUUUUAGACUUAAAAAUAACUAUUGUGGUCCUGAAAGCCACAUUUUCCUCCGAAAGGGCUUCCCUCAGGUUCCUUCAAAAUGGCGCUGCCCUGUAUGACUGCACUCUCUCUACAGUCAAAAUGGCUGCUUAACUCCUUCUUCUUCUGAGGUAGUUUUCACUUCUCCUCAGGAAGGUCAAAAGAAAGAAAUCAACUGCUACUUGGGAAGCUUAAAGAAAAUACACUUUUACUGGGGAAGCUCAAAGGAAAAUAAAUUCACUUUUAUUCAGGAAGCUUGAAGGAAAGAAAUUCACUUUUACUUGGGAAGGUCAAAGGAAAGAAAUUCACUGUUCUGCCUCCAUGCUUAAUUAAAUGAACUGGAAGGACUCAUAGCACGAAGGACAGAUUGGAGACUGUAGUUGUGAAACAAAAUAUUUUAUUAAUAGACAAAAUUGAUCUCUUUUCCUCUUGAUGCCACUAUGAAGUCUCUUGUGAGGAAAGAAAUCUUUGAGUCUAUGCAGUUCUGGAUAGAUAUUGCCACAGAGUAUAAAGUCUUGUUAUGAUUGGAUUCUUUGUAUCUUUGAGAUGACUUCAAUGCAGUGUUGUUGACAUGGCUUUCUCUAUUGCUGUAGUCUAUGGCUUUUUAAUCUAAUUUGAAUACAGUUCCAACGUGACGUGAAUUUCUGUGAUCCUUUUACUUCCUACACUUCCUUCCAGUGCUUCACCAACUGACAAAUUCUAACUGACAAAAAUAACUGCCAUUUCAGGCUGGCAGGGGCCAAGGCUAAGCUCCGCCCCUUUGGAACCUUAAAGAGACAGGGCAGCAGGUAAUGUUUUGCCUCCUCGUGGCAUGACAGUGCUCUAUUUGCUAUUUGGCACUAUUUGGCAGAGAAGGUUGAAGACCUUGUGAAACUACAACUUCAUUGUGCCAUGGCAAUUAAAGUGGUGUCAAACCACAUUAAUUCUACAGUUCAGAUGUGCCACAGGCAUUGCAGCAGAGAGAUUAAAAUGAGGCAGGUGGUGGCAACCUCAAGAAAAGCAGAGGAAAUCGAGGCAUCCUUUUCAUUACUACCAUGACAUGCCAUUAUUUUUAGUGUAUUUCACUUUUUUUCAGAAAUCUUUUCCAUAGUCUUUUCAUUCACAAGUUUUUCUUCACUGGUGCUGGGUAUUUCACACAGGAACAUUGCAUAUGUACCACUGUUUUCUUCUUUACUCUUUCAGUCGUUUUCGACUCUUUGUGACCUCGUGGACCACUGUUUUAAAAGACCCAUUUCAUGCAUCUGAUGCAAUGAGAGCCCGUGGCUGUUUCUUAGACUUCAAGGGUGGCUCAGGAUUUGCCUUUAUUUGUUAUCUCUGUGAUGUGUGGUCUUCAUAAACACUCUCUUCUACAUAGAUCUAUAUGUAUUAAUAUCAUAAGAAAAAUAUUUUUCAACACAAAUAGUAGAUUGUAAUUUCUUAAUAAUUUACACAUUAUGUUAAAUAUGUUUAUGUAUUUGCUCAUAUAAUAGAUAUAUAUAUAUGCAGAUAACAUGACUCAAUGGAUCCAUAAUUUAUUAUCUAACUGGAUCUAUGCUAGGCAUACCUAAGUCUGGAUUCACUGUGUAUAUUUUGAGUAUUGCCACAUGGUUGCCACAUAUUUGGAUGAUUAGAAAAUGGAAACAUAUUUUGAACUUUAGUCAUAGACAGAUCAAUACACAGAUCUGUUCACAGCAUUAAAUUCAACAUGAUGCUAUAUUGUAAGUAAGUAACAUUUGUUUUUAGAUCAUGUAAGCACAGCAUUUGCGAGUGUCUUCAAAAUAUAUAUUGCAUAAUUCAUCUUGAAGACUGAUGGGAAAUUGUAUGUUAAAGUAUCUUUCAGGAUUGAAAUUAUGUUUUCAAAACCUAAUUACAGCUGCUAGCAUUCACAAUAUUCCUGUUAUCAUUGAGGCUAUUGUUAAAAGACAACUUGGUUGCACUGGAAGCCACACCAUGCAAAGGUUUGUUUCCAGAACAAUGUGUAAGGUUUCAGGUCAUUGCUUAGUGCAAGGACAAGAUGUUAAUGUUUAGAAAAGCAAUGUGCUUCAUUCUUGCCCUUUGACACAGAUCUUGUGUACUGCAGACUUUCAAUCACUUUUUAAAAAUUACUUGUAUCAUUAUGCUUCCAGCAUGUUGGAUAUAUUAUGCAUUGGGAGAGUUUUGCAAGGAGGAUAUAUAGAGUCCCUGACUUGUCUUUGUUAUUUAAAGUGGGUUAGAAUGUAUAGAAAUAAAAUAAUCCAAACUAGUGUUCAAAGAGUAAUGGCCAUGUUGUUUUAUUUGUGUUAUAUCUGCAGAAGAAAUUUAACACCAAAAAACAAUUAUUGCUUCUGGUGUUAUUACAUUUUCACUACAUAGGACCACAUGUUGAAACAGAAUUAGUAUUUAGAGAUCAAAAUGCUACCAUGUUGACAGGGAUGUGUAAUGCAUAUUCCAUUCUUUUCACAGAUCAUCUGUUUCUGGAACACCAUUGACCUCUGACGGCUGUAUAGUUAUCAUUAUGGGAAUAUUCUCAGAGGUCCAUCCUUUAGGAGUCCUGUUGAAGCUCCUCCGGGUACAAAGAGGAUUGGCAAGGACCAUGAAUCGAGGGUCAUUUAGCAGCAGAAAGUUGAAAUCUGGAACCUUGAACUUAACCAGUUUCGAUGCUCUCUCAAAGCCACCAAAAGGAGUAGCAACUCUGUAAAUGAUAGGAACAAGAAUAAAUGAGAAAUCCAAACAAACACUUACUCUCUCUGUGUAAGUGUCUUCGUUUUAAUUGAUUCUUAUAGCAACAUUAUAAAGCAGUCACUUCUAGUGUGAGAGAAUUGGCCGUCUGCAGAAACCUUGCCCAGAGGAUGCUUCAGGGGCUUCUCUCAUGUCUCCACAAGCUAGAACCGACAGACGGGAGCUCACCACGUCUCGGCAAACUUCAAAUCAGCAACCCAACCUUGCAGUCCAGCCGGCACAAAGGUUUUACCCAUUGCGCUACCACGGCUCCUACCAUGCUAAACCAUGAUUUUGUGUGACAUACACACACAGACAGAAUGAUAAGAAUAGCUUUAGGAAAGCUGAGCCAUAAGCAAUUCAAGGAGGGAAAACAGAAAGAUGGAAUUGUGAAUAUUUUCCAUUAGCCGACAUCUUUGUGUAAGAAUUUUAGUUACUGGCCUAUACAGAAUUGUUUUUCUUUGAUAUUAAUUUUAGUUUUCCCUUUUGAACUUUGUAUAUUCAAUUAGUAUUUGGUGCAGUUUUACAGAAAAUAGAAUCGUAAAAACCCUUUUAAUAAAAAAAAGAAAUGUACAUUUUAGAUGUUACAUCUUUUGCAGAGAAUUAAUAGCUAUUAACAUCACCAUUAGGGCGUGAUGUAAUAAUGCAAAAUUAUAAAUGAUGCCUAAAUCCAUUUUGUAGUCCCAAGGAAAAUAAUCCUGUUGAAUAAAUAAGAUUCAUAUAAAUAGUCAUUAACAAUUUAAGCAAUUAAUUAAAUGGAUUUUCCCUUGUUAGUUGGAUUUAAUCCAAACUACACUGCAUGCACCCAGGUUAAUAACCAAAUGUAAAUUAAUUUCUGUUUCAAUCAAAAAAUGAAGUGCUGUUUGUUAAAAUAAUGCUCAGUGCCCAGAAUGGUUGAGAAACUUUUUGAAUCACUGGACCUCAUCACAUGGAGGUCCAGGAGCUGGGACACAGUGGGGAAAACUGUGGGACGGCAUUCCACUUCGUCCCUUUACGGCGUUCUUUGUGGUCCCCAGCAUCCUUCCAUGCUGUCCCUGGCUGUUUCUAUGAUGAGUUGGUUAGUCACUUGACUCCUCAGGGCUCCAUCUCUGCGCACUGCUGGCAUGCUGCUGGCAUGGAGACCCACAAGAAGUAGCCCUGCGUCAUUUGAUGGGCUCUGGUGGACUCCAUCCCGGCAGCGUGCUGAUAGCAAGUAGAGAUGGGGAAAACCACCCGACAGAUGAGGUCGUAAGAGAUUGUGGUACAAACUGAGUCCUUAACAACCUGAAGAAAAUGCUUCACAGUUUGUGGGAUUAGGUUUGCUGCAUCUAGAUUAGUAACACAGAGGGAUACCCAGAUGGACUGGAUUCCUUUAGUGCUUUGAAAACAAUCCAUUUCAGGAAGGGCACUUUGUUUCUAGUCUAGGCAAAGAGGCAAAACCGGUCAAGCCUGUUUAAUGUUAUAUCUAUGCAUUUUACAGUGCCUCAUUUCUUGCAUAGGGUUCUAUUCUGGAUGCUUAUCCUAACAGGAAGGGGAAAAGGGGGGUAGAGUGGAAAUAAAGAACGGAAGAAAUAUUUUUUCACCUACAGUACUUACAUGUUAAAAAAGGAGGCAGGAAGGGGAGGAAAUGUGUUACCCCCCCCCCCCCCUUUAAGGCUAUCUGGUUUUUAUUUUGGCAUGAGCUUUUGUGGCACUACAUUUGAAGAAGUUGGUUUAUAUCCAUAAAAGCUCAUACCAAAAUAAAAACCAGGCAGUCUUAGAGGGGGUGCCAUAUUUCCUUUUUUCUUCCUCUACUCUCCUCCUUUUUUACUGCAAGACACUAACACGGCUAUCUCUUUAAAGAAAAGCAAUGAGUAAAGAUAGUUUGGAGAUGUCUUAAUACAAUGGGAUUCUUCAAAGUGGUGAUCUUUUGUUGCAUCCUAUGGCAAGUCCUUCCAGAAAUCAGGAACUCAACGGCUCCCAGGUAGGCAGGAGUCAAAGAACAGUUAAAGCUGUUUGGUGGCCCUAGGAAUUCAGAUUAUGCACCCCCAUCCCAUAAUGUUACAUUUUCAUUUCCGUAAAAUGUAUUUCCCAUGAUAAAAUGUUGCUAAAAUUACAAUUUUCUAAGAAAAAAAGAAAGGGAGCUUCUCAAGAGUUUUAGUACUAUUAAACCAAAAGUAUUUCAAACCUGAGUUUAUAAUCAUUCAAAUGGGCAAUUAAAAUUCACAGGCUUGUCAUUUUUUCUUGCUUGUUCAUUUCCUGUUAACACAGUGAAUUGGGGGUAACAAUAUAUGGAACAUGUACUGUGCUUUAAUAUGGUAACCCAAUUAUCUUAAAAGUAAGUGAUAAGAAGGAAUGCUUGACUAUUCUAGCUUUUCACUUUGUUCAGUUUGGCUAUAGCUGCUUUGAGUCUCCUUGUGGAGAAAAAAUGUGUGGCUGCUGUCUUCCAUAUUUGCAGGUUUUAGUCCAAGCUUUAAAGAGCUAUCUAAGGAGCUGAAUUUGUUUUUCCAACGGCUCCUUUAAAUGUUGGACUAAAGCACAGAGCUUAGCAGUGUUGACAUGGAAGUUACCAUUGCAUUAAAACGGCAGUUCCCAGCCUUUGGUCCUUCAGGUAUUUUGGUUCUCCAGGCAUUGUGCCAGAAUUCCUGAAAGUUGGCCAAGCUGGCUGGAACUUCUGGAAGCUGAAGUCUCAAACAUGUGGAGGAACAAUAGUUGGAAAGUACUGAAGAAUCUGUCUACUGCAAUCUUUAAAAUACAGCCUUUUGAAAUAAGGAACUACAGAAAUGUAAACUGUGAUGAGAAUAAAGAGGCAAGUGAAACUGGUGAAGGCUGUUUUGCACUGCGCCAAGUAGUGGAGAGCAAAUCCUAGAACCUUCAUAGUCCUUGACAUCAGACUCAAAACAAUGUUAGCAUGUGCUCUUAACGGCAUCCACAAUAGCAGCUUUGUGGCGAAGUGACAGGGAUUCAAAGCUCUAGUUAAAUUGAAGACAUUGAGCCAGAUUCGUAGUUGCUUUCUGCUGUGCCCUCCCAGGUUUCUAGUAUAGUGCCAAGAAAAGGUGGGCCAAUGGGGAACUCUAUAUUUAACAUGUGUAGACAACUGUGACCUUCCAGAUGUUGAUAAGCUGCAACUCACAUAAUCCUACAUUGCCAAAUCUGUCUAGAACUGAUGGAAAUGGUAGUCCAAAAGCAUCUUUAGGUCUACAUGAAGAUUAUGAGACAUAUUCCUGGGUGGCUUUGGUUUUCAUUGUGGCCGCAGUUGUUAAUCAGGAGGGGAGGGGUUGAACUAUUUAGUUAACUUUAACAUGUUAUGUUAUCUGUUUUAGAUCGAAAUGGGUCUCGUAGACCUUGUUUUGUUAACUGCAGCUUAGCAUUUAGUCAGUCUCAUAACUGUAUUUUAUUAUGCUUUUAUAGGUUUUAUUGUUAGUUAUUCUGUGCCUAAUUGUAGGUCCUAUUGUGGCAAGGAAUGUGACUCAAACUUUUUAUAAAAAUAAAUAACUGAAAUAAUAAUAACAUUUUCAGCCUCUAAAAUCCUUUUAGCUAUCUUCUGAAUCCAUUCCAGCUUGCAUAGAAAUAUCACAGUCAGACACAAACGCUACUCCAAUCUGGUAGAGCCUGAUAACUGAGAGGAUGUUGUAGCUGCAUUCAUUUGUUGUAUAUGUUUGCUUGAAGUUGCAAAUGCAGGCUGAUUAGCUGCAUUCAUUUGUUGUGUAUGUUUGCUUAAAGUUGCAAAUGCAGACUAAUUAAAAUACACAAAGCUUUGUUGUCAUAACGAUUUUUAACUUCAAACAUGGGGGUUGAUCUUCACAUGUCCAUGAUCACUAGUGAGUGUGCCUCUGAGAGACACUUAUUAAGCAUUACCAUUCCUAGAAAUAUUUCUUCCUACAAUGACACUAUGCGAACAUCAAGACCUGAGUCACACUCAGAGACUGAUGUCAUUAUUAUAUCACUAUGGUCUCUAAGGUUACAUCAUUGUGAUGUCUCAUGGGCCUUGUAGUCCCGUUCCUAGUGCUAUUGUGGCAGAUGAGGAGGAAAAUUUGGGAUUUCCACCGGUUCAGCUUGAAUCAGAGCCUCGCCACCUGGAGGAUGUUUGUCCUCAGGAAGUUAACCAAACAAGCCUUGGGCAGAAUUCUCCCCCGUUUUCCCGAAAGGAUAAUUAUAAUAGAGAUAGAGGAGCCAGGGAGGCUAAUCGCUGGAGCCUCAGAAUCGCUGCCAGACAAUUAGCUGAUUAGGUCUGCUUCCCUUGGGAAAUUCUAAGGAGUCAUGCAUCUGGACAGAGUUGGGUUUCAUUUCUUGUUCUCCAGGGAAAGUGUUCUGUUGGCGGGAAAACAAGACCCUAUAUAGGGGUUUUGCCGCAAGGGGAACCUUGCGGAGUCAAUUUGUUCAGCUUGAGGAGAGAGAUCGUGUGAGGACUUCGAACCCCAGUUCCUUGUUUCCCGGAUCGAGUUUCCAGCCUUGCCUUGUUUCACGGACUUCUAUGGACUCAGUUCAUGUUUCAUGUUUGCCUUGUUUCAAGUUUGAUCUAGCCAAGAUUCAAGCCUAUUUUCCAGCCUUGUUGUCAAGCUACCUUGGACUUUAAAGACCCUGUCAUUCCCCACACCAUUGCUUGGCAAGGUGUGUGUUUCGGUCAAGUGAAUUAUAACUUUGGACUUUAAUAUCUUAUAUUGGACAUUAUAUUUCUGGACUAUAUUUGACCUCAUCUGAAAGGUCUGCUUCUGAACUAUAUUCUUCACUUGUUUUUAUUGACUUUAUAUAUUUCUUUAAUAAAGAUAUUAGAUAGA